CAGUUACACACUACGUCGUGCGAUUGAGACAAGGAAACUUGGAAUGACUUUUCGUUUCCCAGAGACUAUGGGUUGAGGAGGAAUUGGAAGUUUGUCGGCUUAGACCUGGUGUCAUUCCAUCAGUGUUAAACUUCCCGGCUCAUCUUGGAAGAGUACGUGCCAGAAAGACCACGACCAAGCAGCCUUGAGAUCUUAGGCAGCGUCUCCCUGAGGUCCCUCUCUAUCUCCCCACACAUCCACCAACCACUGGAACACAUCUCCAAAGUUCUGCCGGGCCAGCUCAGCUUCCCCUCAGAAGAAGUGCCGCCACCUGCCAGAUGAAGGAGCCUUUUCAGAGGCAGCUGGCAUCGUGAUUGGACUGUACUUUGGUCUGUUCCAAUCCAGCUUCAGCUCCAGAGACGGCAGGCGGGACGAGUCAACGGAGGCCGGGUGGACGAAGGCAUGCAGCUGAGUACAAUCCAGAAAACAACAGAGGAGGAGUGCAGCAGCCCAGAGCCAGAACAAACAGAACCAAAGAACUACAGACUCUUCACAACCUGCUCAAACUCUUGGUACAGGACCUCACCACACGGGUCAAGAAGGUUGCUUUGUAGAACUGUUCCAGAAAACCUCACUAAACCACAUGGAGGGGCCUCAAGAUAGUCGUCCAAAUGAAACCAUACAAAAACCAAACUAGCACAACCCAAAUGCUUAAGUCUCCUGCAGCCUACCAGAGAAC
Long non-coding RNA from Amphiprion ocellaris (clown anemonefish), 718 nucleotides. The record is from Ensembl. Lineage: Eukaryota; Metazoa; Chordata; Actinopteri; Pomacentridae.